This is a long non-coding RNA of Diceros bicornis minor, 1391 nucleotides long. RefSeq lists it as uncharacterized. NCBI's taxonomy places the organism in Eukaryota, Metazoa, Chordata, Mammalia, Perissodactyla, Rhinocerotidae. The record is from RefSeq and is a predicted model, not a curated record. The transcript is spliced from 3 exons.
UUCACAUGUUUCCUACAGGUCUGCCCCAAUUUGCACAGCUGGGCUUUCUCUGAGAGCCAUUUCACUGCAGGAGCUCCCAGUGAUAACAACAAUAACCACAAGCCUCGCUUCUUUCUUCCAUUCCGUCUAAUGAAGCCUCAAGUCUCUGGAGUCAGCCUAAACUGCUCUCAAGCGCUCUACUGCGUCCAUCCUCAAAGUAAACUGUGAGACCUUGGCAAACGAAGACUGCGAGUUUUGAGCAAUCCCACAGCUGACUCGGCCUCCGGCACUUCACACUGUUUACACUGGGCCCUCUCCUUGGCCUCCCAUGGCAGGAUCUUUGCUCAGGCCUUUUCGCCUAGGAGGUGGCUUAUGAAUCUGGCUCCACUCAGAGCUGUGUUACUCUCCAAAUAGAACCUGAAUGAUCAUUCCAAUUCUGCUACUCUCCAGCUGAUGAAGAGUCUUUGCUUGGAAGGUGGGAGAGUGAGAAGGAAAAGACCUCUGUAGCAUCCAAUCUGUCCAUCUUACAACUGACAUCGGGAAGAAUCUGAUUUGCAAAGAGAAAGCUCCAGCUCUUGUAUUGCAUCCAGACAGGGACCAUUAGGGAGAUUGGAAGGAGAAGAUGCUCAGUUUCCAGAGACUUUCAAUGAGGCUGGAGAAGGCACUGAAAUGGAGUUGCAAAUUCUCUACCAGAUUUCAUUUUGUGAUUACCUAAGGCAAUGGUGAGAAACGGAUACUUCACGCCAAUUAAACUGCAGUACUGUGUUUUCUAGUCACUUCACAUGUAAUAAAUUUAUAUCUACUCCACCCUGUGAUUUUCUUCUCCUUCAGAAUUAAAAUCCUAGCUCUUCUUCAUUUUCAAAAUGUGGAUACUUCUGGAAAAGAAAAAAAAAAUUCAUCUCUUCCUUCCCCUUCAUUGAGAAUCCUUUCUUGCUAUAAUCCAAAGAGAAAAGGGCAAUAGCCGUGUUGGAAAUCAGUUUUGAGUGUUGGAGAUUUUCCAAAGAUGAAACCGAACAGCUUGAGGGAUUGGGGAGUAAAUUUCAGUUGUGUCAUUAAGUUGCUGACAGUACACAAGAAAAUAGAAGCUACCAACUGGAAUAUGGAGCUUGAAGUAGCUUUUAGCCCAGCUCCGUGGGCUAUGUAGGUAGUAUUGUUUGAAGUCUCUGGAAAAGGCAGGAAAAAGCCAAUCUGUAGAAUAAAGGAUAGAGUUUUAGAGACAAAUUUUUCUUUCUUUUUUUCCUUCUCUCCAUGUCUUCCUCCCUCACCCACCCACUCCCUCAUUUCCUCCUUUUCUUUCUUUAUGCUUCCAAGACACAGCUAUUUAAAACCUGUGGACCAUUUGUAUGAAAUUUGAUGGGUACCUUGUUUGGUUCUAGAAUGAGUGUUCCUUUAAACUCCAUAGCAUGGAUCCC